AAAACGCCACGAUGGUGGAAAAUAAACGAGACAAUUUACAAGAUUUUUGUAUUGACAGAAUGACACGCAGUCAUGCAUAUAUUGCAGUUAUUAUCGUAAAAAACUGACGAAUAUAAAAACAGUAAAAAACGGUGUUUUAUACACCGCUUUUUGAGCAGUUAUGUUCCGCCCACUUUUCCCGAAAUCCCGAUGUAUAUUUGACUACGACUCUAAUU
Molecule: non-coding RNA, 215 nt
Organism: Cinara cedri
Lineage: Eukaryota; Metazoa; Arthropoda; Insecta; Hemiptera; Aphididae
Source: the annotation of a GenBank genome assembly